This is a long non-coding RNA of Sorghum bicolor (sorghum), 1182 nucleotides long. RefSeq lists it as uncharacterized. The record is from RefSeq and is a predicted model, not a curated record. Lineage: Eukaryota; Viridiplantae; Streptophyta; Magnoliopsida; Poales; Poaceae. The transcript is spliced from 4 exons.
UCUUUGGCAGCCCAGAAUCCCGCAGGGAUCCCGGCCUUUUCCAUGGGCUAAUCAGGCCCGUGCCAGCCUCCCCCGGGCCAAAAUUAUGCACCAUUUGGCAGCCCACGAAGUCGAGGAAUGCGGCCCGCUUCCCUGUAUUUUACUCGGGGAACAAAUCCACGACCCUUUUGUCCGGGAGAGUUUCCCCGUGCACUCGCGAGCCGCCCGACUCCUUCCUCUCGCAACGCCGCCGCCGCUCGCCCAGGCUCCACCGCGGCUUGCCCAGGCUCCGCCGCGGCUCGCCCAAGCUCCGCCGCCGGUCUCCAUCCGGGAGAGCUUCACGUCGAGUCGCAUCCACCCCAUCAUCCCUUCAACGACGCCCCGACAUCCCAUUUCCUCCUUCCGUCCGUUCUCCGCCGGCGACCUCCCUCCCUCCCUCCUUCCGUCCGUUCCGUCUCGGGUGAGUAGUCUACACGCACCGCACCGGAUCCAUUUCCGGCCGGAUCCGCCAUCCAUUUUGGUUGGUCCCGCGCCAGUCAAUCGGCGGAUGCGAUUUGAAUCUCAUCAUGGCCGGAUCUACGCCACCUUGCCGCUGCUUUGUUUGUCUUCCCCGACGGCAGCUCAGACCCUCCUUACCUGACCCUCUCCUUUCUCCUUUUCAGUCAGGCCUUCCUCUGUAUCACCAGUGAAGCAAAGGAUUGGAGGCUACUCCAUCCAGGGCAGCAAGUUUCUACAGAGGCUACGACUUCAGCUUCACCUUCCUGUUCCUGUUCACCUCCAUCCUUGUGCUCCUAGUGUACAUCACCAUCUAGUGCUCUUUGUGGAGGAAGUGUUGUAUGAUUUGAGAAGAAAAAUGUUUUGCUAGCUGUAGUGCCUAUGUGAGAAGCUCAUGGAAAGGAGUUUUUUUUUUCUCAAACACUACCCAUGAAAAAGAGUUAAACCAUAUAUUUUUUAAUUAUGUCUUAGAUAUCUAGAUGGUGACCAUCUGUGAUUUGGUGAAGAAUGGAUUGACUGAGUUAAGUUUGCCACUUGGAACUAAUUUUAUAUGUAUUGGACUACGUCAAAUAAUUAGUAUUGUGAUUUUCCAUGCAUUAUGCUCAUGAAAAGUGCUCGGCAUUGAUAUGAGACAGUUCACGUUUUCCUUGCUCAGGGCAAUCUAUUGCCAAACAACGUCAGGGAAAACUCCGCACCUGUGGAAGUCUG